AUCGAUUGUCUUUAAAUACCACUUUUAAAAAUUCUGAUUUUUUUAUUUUUUAAAUCGGAAUUAGAAAAUAAACUAAUAAAUUGAUGAAAGUUUCUAAUAAUUCUAGGCUAAUUUUUAUUUAUUUAUUUUUAUACCUAUUUUCAAUCAGGGAGAUUAUCAAGGGACGAGGCCAAUUCCAACCACGGGCUGCGCACAUUCCCCGUAGAGGGGGCUGGAUGGUGAAGGAGGGGACUCCCGAAAACUUUUCGGGAAUUACCAGACCUGGGACGCGAAUCCGGAUCCUCCCAGCUGACAUGCCGAUAUCGUUAUCACUCGGCCACCCAGCCUCCAUUCUAGGCUAAUG
RNAcentral lists this long non-coding RNA (343 nucleotides) under Androctonus crassicauda. The record is from RNAcentral. Lineage: Eukaryota; Metazoa; Arthropoda; Arachnida; Scorpiones; Buthidae.